This 62-nucleotide transfer RNA is filed under the name Daphne mezereum. RNAcentral describes it as "partial tRNA-Phe". Lineage: Eukaryota; Viridiplantae; Streptophyta; Magnoliopsida; Malvales; Thymelaeaceae. The record is from RNAcentral.
CGGGAUAGCUCAGUUGGUAGAGCAGAGGACUGAAAAUCCUCGUGUGACCAGUUCAAAUAAAC